This 504-nucleotide ribosomal RNA is filed under the name uncultured bacterium. Its description in RNAcentral is "partial 16S ribosomal RNA". It matches the Rfam family "Bacterial small subunit ribosomal RNA", at positions 29 to 523 of the family's 1533-position model. The record is from RNAcentral.
AUUGAACGCUGGCGGCAGGCCUAACACAUGCAAGUCGAGCGGUAGCACAGAGAGCUUGCUCUCGGGUGACGAGCGGCGGACGGGUGAGUAAUGUCUGGGAAACUGCCUGAUGGAGGGGGAUAACUACUGGAAACGGUAGCUAAUACCGCAUAACGUCGCAAGACCAAAGUGGGGGACCUUCGGGCCUCAUGCCAUCAGAUGUGCCCAGAUGGGAUUAGCUAGUAGGUGGGGUAACGGCUCACCUAGGCGACGAUCCCUAGCUGGUCUGAGAGGAUGACCAGCGACACUGGAACUGAGACACGGGCCAGACUCCUACGGGAGGCAGCAGUGGGGAAUAUUGCACAAUGGGCGCAAGCCUGAUGCAGCCAUGCCGCGUGUGUGAAGAAGGCCUUCGGGUUGUAAAGCACUUUCAGCGGGGAGGAAGGCGGUGAGGUUAAUAACCUCAUCGAUUGACGUUACCCGCAGAAGAAGCACCGGCUAACUCCGUGCCAGCAGCCGCCGUAA